GCCCGUCUGGUGGAAUUGGCAUACACGUCCGACUCAAAAUCGGAUGCCGAAAGGCUUGCGAGUUCGAGUCUCGCGACGGGCA
This 82-nucleotide transfer RNA is filed under the name Leifsonia sp. AK011. It matches the Rfam family "tRNA". Rfam says of the family: Transfer RNA (tRNA) molecules are approximately 80 nucleotides in length. Their secondary structure includes four short double-helical elements and three loops (D, anti-codon, and T loops). The record is from Rfam by way of RNAcentral. Lineage: Bacteria; Bacillati; Actinomycetota; Actinomycetes; Micrococcales; Microbacteriaceae.